This 438-nucleotide ribosomal RNA is filed under the name uncultured Tulasnellaceae. RNAcentral's name for it is "LSU rRNA". It matches the Rfam family "Bacterial large subunit ribosomal RNA", at positions 1655 to 2042 of the family's 2925-position model. Lineage: Eukaryota; Fungi; Basidiomycota; Agaricomycetes; Cantharellales; Tulasnellaceae. The record is from RNAcentral.
CGACACAGGUUCGUACGUCGCGAAUUCUUAGGUGGAGAGUUAAUAGGGGUAAGGGAAAUCUGCAAGUUGUGAUCUUAGCAUAGUAGCGCUGAAGAACCGGGAGAAAAGGUGCUACUUCAAAAAGGGGGUUAAAGGGACCCGGCGAAUGGGAGGCCCUGACAAUAAAACUGGUAUCCGGACAUUUGUAAGGCCUAAUUUGGGGGUUGAGGCGUGGAAUUUGCCCGAGGUCAUUGAAGUUGGUGACAUAGGGGCAGGGGAGCCGGCGACCGAAGCCCCGGUUCACGGCGGCUGUAAUCAUAACGGUCCUAAGGUAGCGAAAUUCCUUGUCCGGUAAAUCCGACCCGCACGAAAGAAGUAACGAUGGUGGCACUGUCUCGGACAGAGGCUCGGUGAAAUAGACAUCGCUGGCAGAUGAGAUGCGUGCUGCGCAUGCGUUCC